This 731-nucleotide ribosomal RNA is filed under the name Azadinium poporum. RNAcentral's name for it is "eukaryotic LSU rRNA". It matches the Rfam family "Eukaryotic large subunit ribosomal RNA", at positions 40 to 658 of the family's 3401-position model. Lineage: Eukaryota; Dinophyceae; Gonyaulacales; Amphidomataceae. The record is from RNAcentral.
AUAUAAGUAAGCGGAGGACAAGAAACUAAAUAGGAUUCCCCCAGUAAUGGCGAAUGAACAGGGAAGAGCUCAGCAUGGAAAUCGGGGCCUCCCGGCCUUGAAUUGUAGUCUUGAGAUGUACUGCCAACGGAGGCGCAGAUGUAAGCCUCUUGGAAAAGAGCAUCAACGAGGGUGAGAGUCCCGUUUGUCAUCUGCAGUCCCCCGUGCACGGUGUACAUUCUAAGAGUCACGUUCCUCGGGAUUGGAGCGCAAAGUGGGUGGUAAAUUUCAUCUAAAGCUAAAUAUUGGUUCGAGACCGAUAGCAAACAAGUACCAUGAGGGAAAGGUGAAAAGGACUUUGAAAAGAGAGUUAAAAGUGCCUGAAAUUGCUGAAAGGGAAGCGAAUGGAACCAGUGUUCUUGAUGAGAUUGUCGCGUACUCUGGUGAUUGCUGGGUGCUCCACCGCAAGGGGGGCAUUUGGUUUUGAGCUAGAUGUGCGUGGUGUUUCUUGUCUUGUGUGUCACCGUCGGUGCACGAGCGAGUAAACCUCCAGGGAGAUGGUAACUCGUCUGCGGAUGUGUGAAUGUCUCUGGUAGUACUCAUUUGUGUAUCGAUCCCUGCGUGUCUGGUUGCAGUGUUUGAGUCGUCUGGAAGCUUCUGAAAGGCUUGCCCUCGAUGAACUUUCUGGGCUCCUUGAGCAUCUCCCUGACACAAAGACGAUGACUAAAUGGUUCUAUUCGACCCGUCUUGAA